RNAcentral lists this non-coding RNA (26 nucleotides) under Rattus norvegicus (Norway rat). The record is from RNAcentral. Lineage: Eukaryota; Metazoa; Chordata; Mammalia; Rodentia; Muridae.
UUGGAAAUGAUGCAUGUGGUAUGAGG